This is a long non-coding RNA of Orussus abietinus, 1474 nucleotides long. RefSeq lists it as uncharacterized. The record is from RefSeq and is a predicted model, not a curated record. NCBI's taxonomy places the organism in Eukaryota, Metazoa, Arthropoda, Insecta, Hymenoptera, Orussidae. The transcript has 3 exons.
GCCGUCGUUGAAUUCUUCGCCAAACCGGACGUAGAUAAAAGCACCUGGCAUUAUUCUUUAGUUAUCAUCACAGAGUGAACUGGUUCCAAAUAUUCGAUUCGGCACGGAGGAAGAAGUUCGAAACUAGUAGGACAAAUGAGUACUCGUCGACUUCCAACAUGGCUGCUUUGCGACGCUCAUUGAGUCGAGCACAAGUUAAUCGUUUCAACCAAAGUCUUCUGAUGAAAGUGCAAUUACACCCCGUACAAAACGAUCCGAGUUGGCUCGGCUUUUUUGACACGUGCUGCCACGUCGACGGCCGCGACUGAAAUCUCAACGAGAGGGAGGAAGGAAAAAACUUGAAACUCACCAUGCACGAAACAAACCAGUGGUUCCAGGAUAUCGGGGAUAUCCUGGAGGAGUUCCGUAAGGUGGGCGGGAAUCCCGGGCGGCGGAGUUCACGACGUCCUGGCCGUUGCGGGCGGGAAGUGGACGGACAUCCUUGCGGUCGAAGGCCGCGGAUCGGACGCCUCGUGGACGUCCUCGACGUCGGAAGGAUCCGACGGCCAAGCCCGACUCUUUUCCUCUUUCCCUCGACGCGAUCCUGACCUCUCCCCGCGUUACUACCGGCCAGGAAAAUCUAUAAAGGCCGCGUCUGCGCCAGCGCGCUUUUCCGCCCUCUCAAGCCCGCCCGGUGGACUUUGUCGGCCUGCCGCCCCAUUGAUUGCCAUUCCCGCCAUCCUACGAAAAGGACCUCCUAAAGUCCACCUCUUUCUUUCUUUUGUUUUGAAUGCUCGCAACCCGAGCGAAAAAUUUACUGUCUAGACGAAAUUCAUUAUAUGUCGCGAUGUUAAUAUUUCUUGCCAGAGAAGCAUCAGUAAAAUUGAUUUUGUAGAAAUCAUUAGGGCUACGAUCCUAUGAGUUAAUAUCAAGUGAAAUGACUUUUUCGGAAUGAGUUUUAUGAAUAAAAUUGGUCUCCGGUAUUGAAAAUAUUAAUGGAAAUUAUAUCACAUUUUUUUAAGGGACCGUCCGAUUCAACUCGAGCAGCCUAGGACUCGCAUAUAAAAAAAUUAUUAAUAUCGUUUGUAGUCGGUUAUUUGAAAAUAUUCAUUUGCUUUAAUUUCAUUUGAUCUCAAUUUCUUGACAGGAGUAAAUAAAGAUUUAGUCGACACAUGAAUAUCUUUUUUUCUAAUACGUUUUCUCUCUAUAGAUUUAUAUGUAUUGAAUGUACGAGCAUAGAAAAAAUACAGAAGUUUCACUUUAAAAAUUUGAUUCAAUUAAUAAAGUUACUGGUUCAUUGCAUUAUUGAGCAUUAUUCAUUCCAUUUCCACCAUGCAAAGAAAAGAUCUCCGAGUGAAAUCUAAGUUAACUUUUGUUACGCCUUCUAUUUUAAUUAUAUCUAUUUUCAGUAAGGAAAUGCAAGAAAAACUACGCGCCCUAGUUCUUUACGAAUUUUUGUUUCCCUAUAGGAAUUUCUUAUAGAUGUUUAAUACAA